UACGUAGGGUGCAAGCGUUGUCCGGAAUUAUUGGGCGUAAAGAGCUCGUAGGCGGUCUGUCGCGUCUGCUGUGAAAACUCAGGGCUUAACCCUGAGCUUGCGGUGGAUACGGGCAGACUUGAGUUCGGUAGGGGAGACUGGAAUUCCUGGUGUAGCGGUGAAAUGGGCAGAUAUCAGGAGGAACACCGGUGGCGAAGGCGGGUCUCUGGGCCGAUACUGGCGCUGAGGAGCGAAAGCGUGGGGAGCGAACAGG
RNAcentral lists this ribosomal RNA (253 nucleotides) under uncultured bacterium. RNAcentral describes it as "partial 16S ribosomal RNA". It matches the Rfam family "Bacterial small subunit ribosomal RNA", at positions 524 to 776 of the family's 1533-position model. The record is from RNAcentral.